Molecule: ribosomal RNA, 494 nt
Filed under: uncultured bacterium
Lineage: Bacteria
Description: bacterial SSU rRNA
Rfam family: Bacterial small subunit ribosomal RNA
Source: RNAcentral
GGCGUGCCUAACACAUGCAAGUCGAACGAGAAAAUCUUGCUUGCAAGAUGAGUAAAGUGGCGCACGGGUGAGUAACGCGUGGGUAAUCUACCUUUUGGGACAGGGAUAACACUUCGAAAGGGGUGCUAAUACCUGAUACGAUGCGAACUUCAAAAGGAGUUUGCAUGAAAGGUGACCUCUUCCUUGAAAGUUGCCGCUCGAAGAUGAGCCCGCGUCCCAUUAGCUUGUUGGUGGGGUAAUGGCCUACCAAGGCUCAGAUGGGUAGCUGGUCUGAGAGGAUGAUCAGCCACACUGGAACUGAGACACGGUCCAGACUCCUACGGGAGGCAGCAGUGGGGAAUAUUGCGCAAUGGGGGAAACCCUGACGCAGCAACGCCGCGUGAGUGAUGAAGGCCUUCGGGUCGUAAAGCUCUGUCAGGUGGGAAGAACAAGAGGAGUUCCAAUACAGCUUCUCUUUGACGGUACCACCAGAGGAAGCACCGGCUAACUCCGUG